RNAcentral lists this RNase P RNA (336 nucleotides) under Crocinitomicaceae bacterium. RNAcentral describes it as "RNase P RNA component class A". It matches the Rfam family "Bacterial RNase P class A". Rfam says of the family: Ribonuclease P (RNase P) is a ubiquitous endoribonuclease, found in archaea, bacteria and eukarya as well as chloroplasts and mitochondria. Its best characterised activity is the generation of mature 5'-ends of tRNAs by cleaving the 5'-leader elements of precursor-tRNAs. Cellular RNase Ps are ribonucleoproteins. The record is from RNAcentral. Lineage: Bacteria; Pseudomonadati; Bacteroidota; Flavobacteriia; Flavobacteriales; Crocinitomicaceae.
ACGGUUGACUUCAUCGCCUCGAUUUAUUCGGGGAGGAAAGUCCGGACAGCGCAGAGCGCCGUACUCCUCAAAAGGGAGGGCUACCAAACGUGGUAGCACAGAUAGUGCUAAAGAAAUUUAUACCGCCGAUGGCUCUUCGGAGAACAGGUAAGGGUGAAAAGGUGAAGUAAGAGCUCACCAGCAGCAAAGUGAUUUGCUGGCUUAGGUAAACCUUGCGGGCUGCAAGACCAUGUAAACUAGUGCCUGAGGGCUGCUCGUUCGAACUAGAGGGUAGGUCGCAUUAGAUCAAUGAUGAAGCCGCAUAGUGCGGAACAGAAUCCGGCUUACACCGUAAAU